RNAcentral lists this ribosomal RNA (561 nucleotides) under uncultured bacterium. Its description in RNAcentral is "bacterial SSU rRNA". It matches the Rfam family "Bacterial small subunit ribosomal RNA", at positions 338 to 916 of the family's 1533-position model. The record is from RNAcentral.
CCUACGGGAGGCAGUAGUGGGGAAUAUUGGACAAUGGGCGAAAGCCUGAUCCAGCAAUGCCGCGUGAGUGAUGAAGGCCUUAGGGUUGUAAAGCUCUUUUACCCGGGAUGAUAAUGACAGUACCGGGAGAAUAAGCCCCGGCUAACUCCGUGCCAGCAGCCGCGGUAAUACGGAGGGGGCUAGCGUUGUUCGGAAUUACUGGGCGUAAAGCGCACGUAGGCGGUUAUUCAAGUCAGAGGUGAAAGCCUGGAGCUCAACUCCAGAACUGCCUUUGAAACUAGAUAACUAGAAUCAUGGAGAGGUGAGUGGAAUUCCGAGUGUAGAGGUGAAAUUCGUAGAUAUUCGGAAGAACACCAGUGGCGAAGGCGGCUCACUGGACAUGUAUUGACGCUGAGGUGCGAAAGCAUGGGGAGCAAACAGGAUUAGAUACCCUGGUAGUCCACGCCGUAAACGAUGAUAACUAGUUGUCGGGGCUCUUAGAGCUUCGGUGACGCAGCUAACGCAUUAAGUUAUCCGCCUGGGGAGUACGGUCGCAAGAUUAAAACUCAAAGGAAUUGACGG